UACGUAGGUGGCAAGCGUUAUCCGGAUUUACUGGGUGUAAAGGGCGUGUAGGCGGUUUUGCAAGUCAGAUGUGAAAUCUCCGGGCUUAACCCGGAAACUGCAUCUGAAACUGCAGAACUUGAGUACUGGAGAGGAUAGUGGAAUUCCUAGUGUAGCGGUAAAAUGCGUAGAUAUUAGGAGGAACACCAGUGGCGAAGGCGACUAUCUGGACAGUAACUGACGCUGAGGCGCGAAAGCGUGGGGAGCAAACAGGAUUAGAUACCCCUGUA
This 269-nucleotide ribosomal RNA is filed under the name uncultured prokaryote. RNAcentral describes it as "partial 16S ribosomal RNA". It matches the Rfam family "Bacterial small subunit ribosomal RNA", at positions 524 to 792 of the family's 1533-position model. The record is from RNAcentral.